CCCAGGCUCGCUCGUAGUAACUUUUCGGCGCAACUUAGUUACUCGUGGGGCGUGAGACCUGUUCUUUGUGGAGAACGCGGAGGGCGUGUCGGGGUAACUCCAUGUGACAGUGAAUCUUCUGGAUUUGGUGAAUUUUUUUGUGUUAGUGUUUGGUUCAUAAUUUUGGGGCUUAUAUGUUUUUUUCGGUGGAUUUUUUUCAUUCUUCAAACUUUAAAAGAUCUCGAGAUAUUUACUUAUUUUUUUAGAUUUUGUUAUUUGAGGAAAGUGACACUUCAUCGCUUUAUCGCUGACGUCGCCGACGAGCACGUGGUCUUACGAGAAGAGGAAAAGGGUGUGCCAGCCGACUCCCUCUACCCAACCCCCUACAGAGGAGAGAUACGAUUCGACAUGAACUAGACUGCGGUGCUGUAACACACACGUGAGGUCACCUCAGCCUCCCCCUUACUUCCCCCUCCCCCCUCCGACAAGCCACCUUCACCUCCCCUUUCUCUACUCCCCCUUACCCACAAUCCCUCAAUAGGUGGGCGUCCAGGCAGAGUCGCGGGCGUGAGGUGGGCGCAAUGACGAGGCAGUGGGCGUCCUGGUGGUGGGCGGAGGCGGUGGGUGUGGCUUUGGUGGUUCUGGUGGGCGUGUCUGUGACCACGCCCUUCGCCUCGGCUGCGCUCUGUGAGUUCUUUGCUUGUUUGUUGUUUUUUGUUUCUUUGUCAUUGUUACUGUUGUCGUUUUUUAUUUUAUUUCUUAUUUUUUUAUCUAGUCUUUGUUUG
RNAcentral lists this long non-coding RNA (764 nucleotides) under Penaeus japonicus. RNAcentral describes it as "uncharacterized LOC122251867". Lineage: Eukaryota; Metazoa; Arthropoda; Malacostraca; Decapoda; Penaeidae. The record is from RNAcentral.